Molecule: long non-coding RNA, 740 nt
Filed under: Phoenix dactylifera (date palm)
Lineage: Eukaryota; Viridiplantae; Streptophyta; Magnoliopsida; Arecales; Arecaceae
Description: long non-coding RNA (PDAC_LNC009653)
Source: RNAcentral
UUCUCUUCUUGAGGUGCUUCACUCUGAGGAAGCAUCCUUGGGACAGCAGCUAGUGGCACUUUUCUCCUCCAAAAGAUUGCCAACUGAUCGGAGGUACUUUCUCUUCCAUUCACGGAUGGAAAGAAAGAUUUUUCUUUGUUCACUCUGAGCAACUGUUGAGGUUCGAGACAGUGUGGAAGGGCACCUCAGACAAACCUAAAUCGGCCCCUAAGGUUGUUUGGUGAUGAUUAAAGGGCCUUAUACAGGUUUCUAGAAUCUCAAUCCAAGAUUUCUGCUUUGGAAGAGCUGUUGUUCGAGGGGGUCCCCCAAAGUUCGAGGGGGGAGUCUUCUUCGAUCGCUGCUAUCGAGGUUGCCCCCACGGUGGCCACCGAGGCUUUAGCCCCCAAAGUCUGUGGCUUGGCACAAUCCUAUCUGAGCUCGUCCAUCUGCCAGCAGCAUCCUUCCACUCUAGGUCAUGCCCCUAGGGUUUACUCCCUGCACAGGUCUAUCCAAGAGUCGGACUAUGCUCUAACAAACCUUAUGGUGGCAAUGCAAUUGGUCGAAACCAUGCAGCUUCCGGCCAACCUAGAGGCUAUGCGCUCUGUUAGUGUCGCCAAGUUCUUCGACUGGGCUUUCACUNNNNNNNNNNNNNNNNNNNNCCGACUCACAAACUACCAUGUAGUCUUUUUCUUUUGUUACUAACUCUUGUUAUCCUUUCCAGCAUGCCCUUGUGAUCAGCGAGAUAGUGAAUGGUCGCGAGG